CAUGCAGUCGAGCGGUAACAUUUCAAAAGCUUGCUUUUGAAGAUGACGAGCGGCGGACGUUGUGAGUAAUGCCUGGGAAUUUGCCCAUUUGUGGGGGAUAACAGUUGGAAACGACUGCUAAUACCGCAUACGCCCUACGGGGGAAAGCAGGGGAACUUCGGUCCUUGCGCUGAUGGAUAAGCCCAGGUGGGAUUAGCUAGUAGGUGAGGUAAUGGCUCACCUAGGCAACGAUCCCUAGCUGGUCUGAGAGGAUGAUCAGCCACACUGGGACUGAGACACGGCCCAGACUCCUACGGGAGGCAGCAGUGGGGAAUAUUGCACAAUGGGGGAAACCCUGAUGCAGCCAUGCCGCGUGUGUGAAGAAGGCCUUCGGGUUGUAAAGCACUUUCAGCGAGGAGGAAAGGUUAGUAGUUAAUACCUGCUAGCUGUGACGUUACUCGCAGAAGAAGCACCGGCUAACUCCGUGCCAGCAGCCGCGGUAAUACGGAGGGUGCGAGCGUUAAUCGGAAUUACUGGGCGUAAAGCGUGCGCAGGCGGUUUGUUAAGCGAGAUGUGAAAGCCCCGGGCUCAACCUGGGAACCGCAUUUCGAACUGGCAAACUAGAGUCUUGUAGAGGGGGGUAGAAUUCCAGGUGUAGCGGUGAAAUGCGUAGAGAUCUGGAGGAAUACCGGUGGCGAAGGCGGCCCCCUGGACAAAGACUGACGCUCAGGCACGAAAGCGUGGGGAGCAAACAGGA
Molecule: ribosomal RNA, 736 nt
Filed under: Shewanella chilikensis
Lineage: Bacteria; Pseudomonadati; Pseudomonadota; Gammaproteobacteria; Alteromonadales; Shewanellaceae
Description: bacterial SSU rRNA
Rfam family: Bacterial small subunit ribosomal RNA
Source: RNAcentral